RNAcentral lists this transfer RNA (75 nucleotides) under Candidatus Harrisonbacteria bacterium. RNAcentral's name for it is "tRNA-Arg". It matches the Rfam family "tRNA". From Rfam's summary of the family: Transfer RNA (tRNA) molecules are approximately 80 nucleotides in length. Lineage: Bacteria; Candidatus Harrisoniibacteriota. The record is from RNAcentral.
GCGCCCAUAGUUUAAUGGAUAGAACGCUAGCUUGCGGAGCUUGUAAUCCAGGUUCGAUUCCUGGUGGGCGCACCA